This 253-nucleotide ribosomal RNA is filed under the name uncultured bacterium. RNAcentral describes it as "partial 16S ribosomal RNA". It matches the Rfam family "Bacterial small subunit ribosomal RNA", at positions 524 to 776 of the family's 1533-position model. The record is from RNAcentral.
GACGGAGGGUGCAAGCGUUGUUCGGAUUGACUGGGCGUAAAGGGCGUGUAGGCGGUUGGUCAAGUCUGAUGUGAAAGCCCGGGGCUCAGCCCCGGAAGGGCAUCGGAAACUAGCCAGCUGGAGCGCGAUAGAGGAGGGUGGAAUUCCUGGUGUAGCGGUGAAAUGCGUAGAUAUCAGGAGGAACACCGGCGGCGAAGGCGGCCCUCUGGAUCGUUGCUGACGCUGAGACGCGAAAGCGUGGGGAGCGAACAGG